RNAcentral lists this ribosomal RNA (232 nucleotides) under uncultured bacterium. RNAcentral's name for it is "partial 16S ribosomal RNA". It matches the Rfam family "Bacterial small subunit ribosomal RNA", at positions 118 to 347 of the family's 1533-position model. The record is from RNAcentral.
UGAGUAACCUGCCCUGGACUUUGGGAUAACCUUCGGGAAACGGGGGCUAAUACCGGAUAUGACGGCUCACCGCAUGGUGUGGUUGUGGAAAGUUUUUCGGUCUGGGAUGGGCUCGCGGCCUAUCAGCUUGUUGGUGGGGUGAUGGCCUACCAAGGCGACGACGGGUAGCCGGCCUGAGAGGGCGACCGGCCACACUGGGACUGAGACACGGCCCAGACUCCGUACGGGAGCA